GGGGCGGUAGCUCAGUUGGUUAGAGCCGCGGACUCAUAAUCCGUUGGUCGCGGGUUCGAGUCCCGCCCGCCCACGUCA
This 78-nucleotide transfer RNA is filed under the name Mycobacterium xenopi 3993. RNAcentral describes it as "tRNA-Met". It matches the Rfam family "tRNA". From Rfam's summary of the family: Transfer RNA (tRNA) molecules are approximately 80 nucleotides in length. The record is from RNAcentral. Lineage: Bacteria; Bacillati; Actinomycetota; Actinomycetes; Mycobacteriales; Mycobacteriaceae.